This is an RNA transcript of Venturia canescens, 3933 nucleotides long. It is a transcript of the gene named WAS/WASL-interacting protein family member 1-like, with no coding region annotated. The transcript is spliced from 2 exons. NCBI's taxonomy places the organism in Eukaryota, Metazoa, Arthropoda, Insecta, Hymenoptera, Ichneumonidae. The record is from RefSeq and is a predicted model, not a curated record.
UCCAACUAUUUUAAGAUUUUUAUCUCAACUUAUGACAUUCUCUUUCAGUGCGAGACCGAGUUUGAGAAGAAAUGUUGGAAUUACUCGAGUUAAAUGCAAAAUACGAAACACAAAUUCAUUUUCGUGCUCUCACUGGACCUAUGCCCUUAACGGCGGCAUUUUUUUGUGUUCUUUUCACCGCCUUCGCGUCACCAUAAUCGAGUUAAAUUCACCGGAGACAAAUAACAAUGAAAACGCGGCGGAGGCCCGCUUUAUAAUUUUCUUGACGAGGCUCGAGGUGAAAUAAUUGAAAACGGUACCGCUGAAUAUUUGAAUUCAACAGAUGCUUAACGAUUCGAGCGUCGCAGAUGCAUGAGCUCGUAACCGCGCAUGGACGCACGCACGCAUGCACCCAAGCACCCAAGCAGUCACACACUCGCGCCGCGCACCCUCGAAAGAGCGCGAUCGGUGUCAUUAUCGAAUUCGAUGAGACUGCUCUUUUGUCCGAGUUUGAUGGAAUAUACGCGACGAGAAAUUUCAUUAUAGAGCUCGAGAGAAUAUUUUUUCGUGAAAGCAUCAACGAGUCGUAGAAAAAAGUGGGUUCGAAGGUAACCGGGAAAAGGGCUUGUGUCUCUGAAUGCAAUGUGCUGUCUGUUGUAGCCAAACGGGAAAAUCUACGAGCGAUAAAUGAGGGUGAGAGCAAGAUUAAUGCGCGACUGCUUGACGAACGGCGGCGGCAGAUCCCUCCUUUACUUUCAUUAUCUUCCUUCGCUAACCAAAGUUCAUUGCCGCCUACGGUUCAUCGAGUUCGUCUCAUGUUCCAUCCUCGAACGGAGGCUCCGAUGCCGCACUCUUCACUAACUUUUCAUCCGCCCCUUUACCAGUUGGUGGAUAUUUCUUGUCGCGAUGACAAAUCGCUCCCGUCUCGUCGACAAUUAUCGUCGUCGUCGUCGUCGUCGUCGUCGUCGUCGUCGUUGUCGUCUUCAUCGUCGUCAAAAGAUAAUGAAGAAACGAAUGAUUCCGUAUCGCCCGUUCUUCAUCCCAUUUCCCGUUCACCAAUUUACGCGACGUGCAGCCUCUGCCGUCGUCGUCAUUCUCCGCACUUUCGAUGUCGUCGUCACAGUCAUUCCCAUCGGUCAUUCAACCGCUACCGCCUUCACCGUCAUAAUCUUCAUCACCAUCAGGUCGAAGGGCAUUCGAAGGGGUCGUCAGCGAGCUUGUUACUUUAUGCCUCAUCCGAGAACAGAGUAGACGCGACGGCUGUUUACUUUCUCAAAAAUAGUAUCGCUGCUACCGCUCCCGCUACGCGAAUGCGCAACGAUUUUUCUCUUCCGUCUCCUCCCUCCUCCGCAUCCCCCCUUCGCUCUCCACCUCCAUCUUGCUCUUUUGCCGAAUGCCGCUACUGCUCGUAUCUCUCCGUGAUGGUCUCUCCGCUCGCGAGUAUCGCGAUCGAGAACACGGUUGAGCCUAUUACCGCGUGUGUGUCUCCUGCUCUCCCGGUAUCGUUACACUUUCGUCGAGCAAUCGAUAAAAAGCCUGGCAACGAUAGCGAUUGCGAUCCUUGUUUAGAGAGAACGACCUGUGUCGAGCACUCGCCGUCGAGUACCACCGAAGCCUCCUCCAGGGCGAGCUCUAUUCAACGCCACCGAGAUGUCCGAUCGCCCGGUGGGAAUCGCCACUCCGUUACACAACGGAAACCUCCCCCAUGGCUCUGCGACCUUGACUCGCCCUCGGAAUGCGUCGACACCGGGGCCCUGAUCUCUGGUUCGAAAGAUUUUACGCUCUUCGAGAAAGCCGGUGGUGAGGCAACGCCUCUGGAGAACGAAGCGGGGCGACCCACCGAAUGGAACAAUAUCGACGUGGCCGCGGGCAGGAACGAGCAGCGGGGAGGAAACGCCCUCGAUCAAUUCGUCACGAUGAAUAUUUUGCAUCGAGAGGAAGAGGAAGAUGAGAAAUUCAGCGUCGAGGACGGACAGGCUGAGGCAUCCGAGCACUCCGGGACAUCCGGCGACCAGGAACACUGCGAGAAGAACGAAAAGGAAAUUGAUACCGCCAGUGACGAUUCGACGUCCGAGGAGCUCGCGGAUCAAGUUUCUCGCAGUGCGAGCGACCAUUCUGAAACGAGCGACGACGACGACGACGACUCGGAUUCGUAUCUGGCGUACUCGACGGGCCACCUGACCAAGCGGACAAGCCCCGACGAGACCGUCCCCGAAGACACGUCCGACGAGAGUGACCUCGAGCAAGAGGACGACGGCGAUCAAGCGAGUGCCGAAAUACGAUCAACCAAAUCAGAUUUUUCUUCGAGGGAAAAUGCCCAGGAUGAAAAUACCGAUAACGACGUUUGCGUUGAGUUCAAAAUUUCACUUCGCCCCGGUAACAUCUCAAUAGAAUCAAACGCCUCGGCCGAUCCCUCCUGCGAGGAAGAUCUUUCGCAGUCUUCUUCCGCCGAUGAGGAUUCCAUUGACUUCUGGAAAGAGAUAACCAUGGACCGUGAAAAUAAUCGCACAGAAAAUUCUUUCUCGAAAACUCUUCGGACUGCGGGCGAUGAGUCUCCGGUAGCUCUACAGUCGGACAUACGAGAAGAGGAAAAAGACGCGGAAGAAGAGAAAAAAGAAAAGGACGAUGAGGAAGAAUACGAAGAGAAAGACGAAUCGACGAGUUUUCUUUUAACAGAUAAAUCGGAGAGAAUGAUCGAGAAAAUGCCGCCUGUCGUGAUCCAAGUGACCGAGGCGCCGGACGACAGUGACCACGAGCAUCCUCAAGGAGACGAGAUCGUUGCGAGUGUCGAUGAUUCGCGGCACUCCGACAGCGACGACGAGGACAGCGGGGUGACCUCGGACACGAGUAGAUUGAUAUCCGAAGUCGAUACCGAUUCGGAGUGCGGAACAGGGAAGCCGAGCGGUAGAAAGAUAAAUAGUUACAAGCGAACGCAGACGCACUCGCGUUUGUUCAGAUUGUUGAGCAACCGGGAAGACGAUAGCCGGGAGAGUCGAGGAAUCGUAACGAUCGGAAGCGUCCCUUCGCCCGGGACGAUAAGCCGAUAUCACCCGAAGCUCGUCAUGCCGGAUCACAAUUUUUUAUUCAACACCGAUAAAACAACGAGAAGCGACUCCGAUGCGUUGCGAGAAGCUUACGGUCGGGGCGACAACGGCGAGGCUCCGCGAUUGCCCAACUGGCGAUUCAGACGGCCCGUUUCCUGUCCAAGAGUAAAAAGUUCGAAAAAUUUACUCCGGGCGAGAACCGCCGGAGGAAAGGAUUCUUCAAACACCAGCGGCGCCACCGAUCCUCCCAGUAAACUGACAACGUCCCUUCCUCGGGAAUACGGGCGUUGCUGAAGCGCCCACGUGCUACGAUCUCUUUUAUUUUUCAUUGAUUUUCCAAAGUUUUUUAUAACGCUUUUCAUCGCCGGAACAAAAGAGUGAGCCCGGGGCAGAGCCACCGUCGCCGCGAGGGGAAAAACACUUGUGAGAUUUUAAUAAUCGGGGAUCGCACGCGCGAUGGGACUAUUUUCAUCGCUCUAACAAAUUCCACCGGCAACAUGCGACACCGCCGCUCCGACGGGAUGUCCGGAAUCUGCGCGACCGUUUUUUUUCCACCACCGGGGUCCCGAUCAAACCGAUUACUGAUGAGAUACGUGACGGAAUCGGAGAGCUGCGCUCUCGAAACUCCCGGCAGGCAGACGGGGAACUCUCUCAGUCGGCGCGUGUGCCUUUGCGUGUUUGUUGUUUCACUUUCUUCCUCUCUCGCUCUCUAUCUCUCUUUCCCUUAUCAUCUUUUCUACGAAUCGCAGUCUUGUUACACACACCCCCCGUCAUACCCGAUCUCGAACUAGAUCGGCGCGGAACGCUCUCCAACGUGUGACUCGGUUGUUCUCAUUACGAAAAGAAGAAUAAAAGGAAUAACACACUUGUAUGAUACAUGUUUCAGAAAUAAAUAUUAUUUAUUACUAAA